RNAcentral lists this ribosomal RNA (878 nucleotides) under uncultured bacterium. RNAcentral's name for it is "bacterial SSU rRNA". It matches the Rfam family "Bacterial small subunit ribosomal RNA", at positions 28 to 902 of the family's 1533-position model. The record is from RNAcentral.
AUUGAACGCUGGCGGAAUGCUUUACACAUGCAAGUCGAACGGCAGCACGGACUUCGGUCUGGUGGCGAGUGGCGAACGGGUGAGUAAUAUAUCGGAACGUGCCCAGUCGUGGGGGAUAACGUAGUGAAAAUUACGCUAAUACCGCAUACGAUCUACGGAUGAAAGCGGGGGAUCGCAAGACCUCGCGCGAUUGGAGCGGCCGAUAUCAGAUUAGGUAGUUGGUGGGGUAAAGGCUCACCAAGCCAACGAUCUGUAGCUGGUCUGAGAGGACGACCAGCCACACUGGAACUGAGACACGGUCCAGACUCCUACGGGAGGCAGCAGUGGGGAAUUUUGGACAAUGGACGCAAGUCUGAUCCAGCCAUUCCGCGUGCAGGACGAAGGCCUUCGGGUUGUAAACUGCUUUUGUACAGAACGAAAAGGUCUCUAUUAAUACUAGGGGCUCAUGACGGUACUGUAAGAAUAAGCACCGGCUAACUACGUGCCAGCAGCCGCGGUAAUACGUAGGGUGCAAGCGUUAAUCGGAAUUACUGGGCGUAAAGCGUGCGCAGGCGGUUAUGUAAGACAGAGGUGAAAUCCCCGGGCUCAACCUGGGAACUGCCUUUGUGACUGCAUAGCUGGAGUGCGGCAGAGGGGGAUGGAAUUCCGCGUGUAGCAGUGAAAUGCGUAGAUAUGCGGAGGAACACCGAUGGCGAANGCAAUCCCCUGGGCCUGCACUGACGUUCAUGCACGAAAGCGUGGGGAGCAAACAGGAUUAGAUACCCUGGUAGUCCACGCCCUAAACGAUGUCAACUGGUUGUUGGGUCUUCACUGACUCANUAACGAAGCUAACGCGUGAAGUUGACCGCCUGGGGAGUANGGCCGCAAGGUUGAAACUC